UGGCCACUAUAGUUGCUCUUUGCAGUGGUCUGGGGAGGAAGAAGUUGACACACCUUGUAAUGGCUGCUGUUAGCCUUACACAUCCCAGGACUCAUAUGGUGCUAUGGAGAAGAGGUUGUUCACAAUAUAAACAGAUAUCCAGCAAUGAGGACCUGCCCAUUCCAAUGGAAAAUUCUUAUAAAGAAGCCCUUAAGAAAUGUAUCUUGUGUGGAAAGCAGGUAGAUUUUAAGAAUGUACAGCGUCCCAGUUUAUUUCUCCAUUUGUUGGAUGCAUUUGUGGAAGGCACAAAACAGGUCUUUGUGGGAAGAAACAGAAAGAAAUCACAAAAGCAAUUAAGAGAGCUCAAAUAAUGGGGUUUCUGCCAGUUACAUCCAAGGAUGCUGCAUAUCUCAAGGACCCUAAAGUUUGUAACAUCAGAUAUCAGGAGUAA
This 430-nucleotide long non-coding RNA is filed under the name Homo sapiens (human). RNAcentral describes it as "non-protein coding lnc-ATP10A-6:1". The record is from RNAcentral. Lineage: Eukaryota; Metazoa; Chordata; Mammalia; Primates; Hominidae.